AUUGAACGCUGGCGGCAUGCCUUACACAUGCAAGUCGAACGGCAGCACGGGUGCUUGCACCUGGUGGCGAGUGGCGAACGGGUGAGUAAUACAUCGGAACAUGUCCUGUAGGGGGGGAUAGCCCGGCGAAAGCCGGAUUAAUACCGCAUACGAUCCACGGAUGAAAGCGGGGGACCUUCGGGCCUCGCGCUAUAGGGUUGGCCGAUGGCUGAUUAGCUAGUUGGUGGGGUAAAGGCCUACCAAGGCGACGAUCAGUAGCGGGUCUGAGAGGAGGACCAGCCACACUGUGAGUGAGACACGGCCCAGACUCCUACGGUGGGCAGCAGUGGGGAAUUUUGGACAAUGGGCGAAAGCCUGAUCCAGCAAUGCCGCGGGUGUGAAGAAGGCCUUCGGGUUGUAAAGCACUUUUGUCCGGAAAGAAAUACUUGGCUCUAAUACAGGCGGGGGAUGACGGUACCGGAAGAAUAAGCACCGGCUAACUACGUG
This 486-nucleotide ribosomal RNA is filed under the name uncultured bacterium. RNAcentral describes it as "partial 16S ribosomal RNA". It matches the Rfam family "Bacterial small subunit ribosomal RNA", at positions 29 to 507 of the family's 1533-position model. The record is from RNAcentral.